GACUUUUCUCAAUCUGGAUCUGCAAUUGGUUUUCCACGUUCUCAGUUUGUUUGGGCUCCUUGACUUCAGAAGACCGGAAAUACACAUUCUAUAAAGCCAACCAGAAAUGAAAGCAUCUCACAUAAAAGGCAAUGAAGACAUGUUUACUGAUUAAUCGAUAAAGGGGAAGUAUAGGGGAAGUAUAGCAGGGCUUUUGCUCUUGCUCCUCCACUGGCUGGCCUUGGACAACUGACAUCCCCAGGAUCUCAUCACCAUGGCAUACCUCUCUUAGGUGUCACACUGUCCUUCUUUGCAACCUCCAAGGAAGGGGAAUGUUCUAUCGCAAUUCUACCAAGUCCAUAAACACUUGCUAAGCACCUACUACGUCCCAGGCACUGUGUUAAACAGAUUCAAGGAAAGGCAGAAGAGCCCCUGACCUGAAGGAACUAUUGACCAUUGGUGAGGGAGUCCCUUUGUAAAGUGCUACUGGAUUGAACCUUUGGAGAAACCCUUGGCAGGGGAUGUAGUCUGUUCCCUGGACAAUCCACACCAACUGCUGGAGACCUGGGGCUCAAGUUCUGGAAAUGCAGGUGGACAAAAGAGCAGCUAUGAAG
Long non-coding RNA from Antechinus flavipes (yellow-footed antechinus), 593 nucleotides. RefSeq lists it as uncharacterized. The record is from RefSeq and is a predicted model, not a curated record. Lineage: Eukaryota; Metazoa; Chordata; Mammalia; Dasyuromorphia; Dasyuridae. The transcript has 3 exons.